GACGAACGCUGGCGGCGUGCCUAAUACAUGCAAGUAGAACGCUGAAGGAGGAGCUUGCUCUUCUGGAUGAGUUGCGAACGGGUGAGUAACGCGUAGGUAACCUGCCUGGUAGCGGGGGAUAACUAUUGGAAACGAUAGCUAAUACCGCAUAAGAGUAGAUGUUGCAUGACAUUUACUUAAAAGGUGCAAUUGCAUCACUACCAGAUGGACCUGCGUUGUAUUAGCUAGUUGGUGGGGUAACGGCUUACCAAGGCGACGAUACAUAGCCGACCUGAGAGGGUGAUCGGCCACCCUGGGACUGAGACACGGCCCAGACUCCUACGGGAGGCAGCAGUAGGGAAUCUGCGGCAAUGGACGGAAGUCUGACCGAGCAACGCCGCGUGAGUGAAGAAGGUUUUCGGAUCGUAAAGCUCUGUUGUAAGAGAAGAACGAGUGUGAGAGUGGAAAGUUCACACUGUGACGGUAUCUUACCAGAAAGGGACGGCUAACUACGU
This 494-nucleotide ribosomal RNA is filed under the name uncultured bacterium. RNAcentral's name for it is "partial 16S ribosomal RNA". It matches the Rfam family "Bacterial small subunit ribosomal RNA", at positions 28 to 506 of the family's 1533-position model. The record is from RNAcentral.